RNAcentral lists this long non-coding RNA (370 nucleotides) under Gallus gallus (chicken). The record is from RNAcentral. Lineage: Eukaryota; Metazoa; Chordata; Aves; Galliformes; Phasianidae.
CACGUCCACGCGCUGCUUCUCCACCUCCGUCUCCCCACACAUGUUGUGCUUGCGGGCGAUGUAGCGCAGGAUGGCGUUGCUCUGGGUCAGUUUGACGUCGCCAUCAAUGAGAUAGGGCAGGUUGGGGAAGUCAAGGCCCAGCUUCUCCUUCUCAUUGGUCCAAUCGCUCGGGUCGAAGUCAGGGGCUGGCCCGGCUUUGUACCGCCGCUCCUGGUAGGGGGUCUCGGUGUACUCCAGCAGCAGGCGGAUGGCGUGGGCCAACCCGCGGAUGUCCCAAUAACCCAACGUGACCACCAUGGCGAGCGCCGAUCCGCGGACACCGACGGGACGUUCCGCUCCGGAGCGCAGCGCAGCAAAGCGGAGCCCCCCC